Molecule: ribosomal RNA, 497 nt
Filed under: uncultured bacterium
Lineage: Bacteria
Description: partial 16S ribosomal RNA
Rfam family: Bacterial small subunit ribosomal RNA
Source: RNAcentral
GAUGAACGCUGGCGGCGUGCCUAAUACAUGCAAGUCGAGCGAACGGACGAGAAGCUUGCUUCUCUGAUGUUAGCGGCGGACGGGUAAGUAACACGUGGAUAACCUACCUAUAAGACUGGGAUAACUUCGGGAAACCGGAGCUAAUACCGGAUAAUAUUUUGAACCGCAUGGUUCAAAAGUGAAAGACGGUCUUGCUGUCACUUAUAGAUGGAUCCGCGCUGCAUUAGCUAGUUGGUAAGGUAACGGCUUACCAAGGCAACGAUGCAUAGCCGACCUGAGAGGGCGAUCGGCCACACUGGAACUGAGACACGGUCCAGACUCCUACGGGAGGCAGCAGUAGGGAAUCUUCCGCAAUGGGCGAAAGCCUGACGGAGCAACGCCGCGUGAGUGAUGAAGGUCUUCGGAUCGUAAAACUCUGUUAUUAGGGAAGAACAUAUGUGUAAGUAACUGUGCACAUCUUGACGGUACCUAAUCAGAAAGCCACGGCUAACUACGUG